This 555-nucleotide long non-coding RNA is filed under the name Cicer arietinum (chickpea). RNAcentral's name for it is "long non-coding RNA (CARI_LNC000117)". The record is from RNAcentral. Lineage: Eukaryota; Viridiplantae; Streptophyta; Magnoliopsida; Fabales; Fabaceae.
ACUUCUACUUCAAGCACCUUUCCAUUUUCAAAUGAUUGCCAACACUUCUUAUUCCUUAGGAACCUUAAAAAUAUUUUGCAUGUAUAUGUAUUAAUUUCCAACUGAAUAAAGUUAAGAAAUUGUCUAAUAAAUGGUAAUUAAAAAAGGAUUUUGAUAAUCCGUAAAAUUUAGUUGAAUUGACAAAAACCGAUAUUGUUAAACUUAAUAUUAUGUCUCAAGUUCGAAAAUGAGACUUCGCAGUUAUAUACGAAUUAUGUGGAUUAUGGUGUAGUUGUAGUAGUAGAAAUAUUAAUUACUAUGGAUGUCAUCAUUAAUUAGUAAUAGUCUUGGUCCUUAGUUAUUUCAUUAAAAAAAUCAUGGUAUGACAAUAAAUCAGUUUAAGAAAAUAGCUAUCUAACCAAAUCAGGCCCAUCAUGAUUCUUUACUAAGUUUACAAACAUUAAACAAAAAGGAAAAGUGUACAGAAUAAUCUAAACGUUAGUACUCACUACGUAUAACACUACUCAAUAAUUAAAACUUCAAUACUUAUUUUGCCUUUUGAGUAAAGGAGGCACC